This 3096-nucleotide long non-coding RNA is filed under the name Heterocephalus glaber (naked mole-rat). RNAcentral describes it as "lncRNA (ENSHGLG00100040794.1)". The record is from RNAcentral. Lineage: Eukaryota; Metazoa; Chordata; Mammalia; Rodentia; Bathyergidae.
CCAGAGGCUCGCAGGCUCGGGCGUUUCUCCUGCUCCUUUCUCUGAGAAAGCGGCGUGUUGGAAGGGCGCAAGGAGCGGGACCCCAGAAGAAGAGUGACCUCGGGAAGUAUCAAGCAUUUGCCCAUGAGCAGUGUCUGUGGUCUACUGUGACCUUCGGUAGACCUCUUCAUCCACCCGCCCAGCCCAGCCCGGGUGGCUUGACCUUGAAGCCCCAACUGCCCUCGGUUCUCGGAGAAGGACAGACAGAUCGGACAGUCCGCGGGGGUGGAGGAGGGGUGGAGAGGGAAGACACCAGUCCUAAGGUCUGACAACCUUUAAUUUUAUGCAGGUCCUGUCUUCUCACCACACAGCCACAAUUGUAUUCCAUUAAGAUAGGGAACGUUCACCCAGAGAUGAUCCUGUCCUUGCUAAACUAAAGCUUUCCCGCAGCCCAAAUCACGCUGUCCUUUCAAUCACCAGGGUCUCCCCACCGUCAGCCCGCUGGCUCAGGAUGUAUUCUUCAUAUCCAGGACAGCACAUCAUUUUACCUCCUCCCUACCUCUCUCUUUUAACUUCCACGUCCUCCCCUGUCUCUCACCGCUGGGUUUAGACCCUCUUUUCCUCCAUCCCCUCCCUUCUUUCUCUCUUUCUUUGCCUGCUACCACUGUCAUCCCCUGUAAGCCUGUCUCCUGCAGCCACUACUUUCUGUUACCUAUUCUCAUGAUGCACUUAAGAAUAAAGCCUGUCCUGUGUCGCUCCAGGAGAUCCCCGAUGAUGAUCAUAAUUGACGAAACUUAGCUAUUGUGACAUUCCUCAGCUGUGCUGACACCACUGUUUCCCUUGAGAAAAUUUCUUUUCCUAUUUUCACAUUCCCUGAACCUAAUUUCACUGCUAAAUUUAGACAGCCCACUGCACAAGGACUAGCUAAUUAUCUGUUUAGAUAGCACUUUAACACGUUGUUGAGACUCAGUUAAAUGUUAACAACCAAAAUUUUAAUAUCACUAGCCAAUUUUAUCACCCCAGCCUUUCCCUGAGGGUUCCAGUCUCCAGAAGUAAUUUAGCCAACAUUUUAAAAGGUACCAAAGGCUUACUAUGGGGGCUAUUGUGAAACUGCUAUAGAGCCCAUCAGAAAUAAACAGGUUUAGCAUUUCUUGAAAGAAUGAUCUGGAACUUUUAAAAAUGUAUUUCCUCUCUCUUUGGAAAAAAUUGAAUAAUAGCUUGCUAUGAUUACAUUCCUCACCUAAAUGAAAGCAUGAAAGAGCAGUAUUUAUAGAUGUUAUAUAAGUAUUUAAAGAGCACCAUCCUGGUGUUUUAUGUGCAUAUAUUCAUUAUGUUCGAAUAAUAAUUUGUGUUGGUAUAGUUUCUUCAACUAGAGAUGUCAAAGCAUGUGCUUACUUCCCACAAAAGACAGCACUACUAUUAUCUCUGCUUGACAGCAAGAGGAACCUAGGCACAGAGGUUAAAUUCACCGCAAAUACUGCCAGCCAUAUGCAGUGGUUUUCCUGCUGGAACCAAGUUCUUGCCUUCCAGGAGGUACCACUGACUGAUCCCUCAAGAUUCUUUAUUUUGAGUUAGCAACAAAUUUACUAAGGAAACUCAAAUUUUUACUUUCUAAAUGUGCCCAGUCUCAAAUUACAUUCUCCUGGAUGAAUGAAAUUUAGAUAAAUGUACAUCAAGCUCUUAUGUUGAAAAUUAUUGCUGAGUUAAAAAAUUAUUUUACACAAUAAAAUUCACUUUUUCAAGGGUUGGAACAGCUGGGGUUUUUUAAACCUUUAACGUGAAAGUAUUGCUAGGCUUUAUAUCAUUACUAUUUUUUUUUACAGAUAAGUUCACAUUAUUUGAGUAGCAAAAAGAUAGAAGGAAACAUUAUAGCUAACAGUAUUUUGACACCAUUGAAUACUAAAUUAUGCAUUUUAAAAAAAAUCUGAACAAAAAUCAACAUGAUCCUAAUGAUAACAAUGGUUUCAUUGUUUUGAGUUGCGAGUGAGUACUGGAGAUGUCCAUCCAACUUUCUGCCUCAAAGACUAUUUGCCAAUUAUCAAGAUUCAUUAACUCUGAACUAAAAAACAAAGGUUGUCACUUUCAACAAAAAAGUACUUGCAUACAGUGCUGGGCAUUUUACACUUACUCCAAUAAUCCAAAUUAAAAAUUUGAGACUAUUAUUAGAAUUUCAUCACAUACUGAAAUAUAGGUGGUAUUUAGUAGUACAGGUAGAACAUUAUGCACUUUAGCUAACUCCCCUUACCAUCAGUACAUUUUUUAUAAUUUGCUGUGUAAAGAAACAUAACUCUUCCCUCAUUAGAAGACAUGAAGAUACUUUGUAGAAUGUUCAAGUCGGUACCAUAUUUGAUAAUAAACUGGUGUUACCCACCUAGAAUCACAAAAUUAUACAAAUAGUUAAAGUACAGACCCACAAAAAAACUACCACUUGCAAAAUAUUUGCCAAGGUUACAUUUAACAAAGCAAUUCUUCCCUACUGAAAAGAUUCUCCUCAUACAGUCACACCACUUUCUCCCUCAUAUUUCCUUUAUUUCUUUGCUGAAAUCACUUUAUUACUGAGACCUUUAGGACUAUCCAAAGGAAAGGUCUUUCCUCAUCCCAAAUCCAAUUCCUGAACUUGAUUUAUUUGCUUCAUUGCACUAACCAUCUGACAUAUUAUGUAUUUAUUGUCUUUUCCCCUUCUUAGAAUGAAAGUUCUACAAGGGCAAGCAAAUAUCUGUUUUUCCACUGCUUAAAUCCAAUCUAAAUACUUUGAGUAAUGCCAUAUUGGUCCCAGGCGUGAUGAUCAAAUGCUAACUGUGGUGACAGUAUACUCAAGUGCAUGUCUAAUGGAAAAAAAACUCAAAGAAGUGUAUUUAUUUUUUAAAAUCUUAAGCAUGUGAUUGAUCACAUUGAAUUUUUUAAGCUGAAAGGUGGUUACCCUGGCCAUUGCUUAAGACUUUGAUUUAAUUUCCAUUAGCAUUGCUUUUGAAACUAUAACUUCUAUAUUGCACAUUCAUACUUCUACAUCCCAGCUUUGUAAUAAUAGGGCUAGGAUUCUGCAAAUUACAUGCAUCCUUUACCAUUUGGUUUCCUAAUUGGUUCUAUCAAUAAAAGGCACUAUAGGGUGGAAAGUAG